Molecule: ribosomal RNA, 460 nt
Filed under: uncultured bacterium
Lineage: Bacteria
Description: bacterial SSU rRNA
Rfam family: Bacterial small subunit ribosomal RNA
Source: RNAcentral
GGCGCAGCAGUCGGGAAUUUUGGACAAUGGGCGCAAGCCUGAUCCAGCCAUUCCGCGUGCAGGAUGAAGGCCUUCGGGUUGUAAACUGCUUUUGUACGGAACGAAACGCUCUGGGUUAAUACCCUGGGGUAAUGACGGUACCGUAAGAAUAAGCACGGGCUAACUACGUGCCAGCAGCCGCGGUAAUACGUAGGGUGCGAGCGUUAAUCGGAAUCACUGGGCGUAAAGCGUGCGCAGGCGGUGAUGUAAGACAGGUGUGAAAUCCCCGGGCUUAACCUGGGAACUGCAUUUGUGACUGCAUCGCUGGAGUGCGGCAGAGGGGGAUGGAAUUCCGCGUGUAGCAGUGAAAUGCGUAGAUAUGCGGAGGAACACCGAUGGCGAAGGCAAUCCCCUGGGCCUGCACUGACGCUCAUGCACGAAAGCGUGGGGAGCAAACAGGAUUAGAUACCCGUGUAGUCCC